AUUGAACGCUGGCGGCAUGCCUUACACAUGCAAGUCGAACGGCAGCGGGCCUUCGGGUGCCGGCGAGUGGCGAACGGGUGAGUAAUGCAUCGGAACGUGCCAUUGAGUGGGGGAUAACGUAGCGAAAGUUACGCUAAUACCGCAUAUUCUGUGAGCAGGAAAGCAGGGGACCGCAAGGCCUUGCGCUCUUUGAGCGGCCGAUGUCAGAUUAGCUAGUUGGUGAGGUAAAGGCUUACCAAGGCGACGAUCUGUAGCGGGUCUGAGAGGAUGAUCCGCCACACUGGAACUGAGACACGGUCCAGACUCCUACGGGAGGCAGCAGUGGGGAAUUUUGGACAAUGGGCGCAAGCCUGAUCCAGCCAUGCCGCGUGAGUGAAGAAGGCCUCGGGUUGUAAGACGUCUUUCGGUCCGGGAACGGAAAGUACG
This 426-nucleotide ribosomal RNA is filed under the name uncultured bacterium. RNAcentral's name for it is "bacterial SSU rRNA". It matches the Rfam family "Bacterial small subunit ribosomal RNA", at positions 30 to 457 of the family's 1533-position model. The record is from RNAcentral.